ACCACCCCUCCCCUUCGUGCGUGCCUCUAUUCCGUGGAAAUCAAACCCCCAUCGCUCUCCCUCCUUCCAUCUUUAUUUCUCCCUUACAACAUAAACUCUCCCUCCCUCUCACGCUCUCUCUUACCAUAUCUUACCUCUUUCUCUCUUCUUCUUCUUCUUCUCCUUGUCCUUAGUGCAAGAUACCAACCUGUCUCCUCUUCCUCCUCAACUAAGGUGAACAAUAUCUUGGGAUCGGAGAAGAUCAAUGAGAAGUUUUGCUGGGCCUACUAAUUGAGGUGCAUGGCGGUUUAGGUUGGCACACCAGCAAAAUUUUUUUAAGCCGUAUGAGGUAAGAAUCUCUGAUCAUAACCAUCUG
Molecule: long non-coding RNA, 355 nt
Organism: Elaeis guineensis (African oil palm)
Lineage: Eukaryota; Viridiplantae; Streptophyta; Magnoliopsida; Arecales; Arecaceae
Source: RefSeq, a predicted model, not a curated record